This 497-nucleotide ribosomal RNA is filed under the name uncultured bacterium. RNAcentral's name for it is "partial 16S ribosomal RNA". It matches the Rfam family "Bacterial small subunit ribosomal RNA", at positions 28 to 507 of the family's 1533-position model. The record is from RNAcentral.
GAUGAAUGCUGGCGGCGUGCCUAAUACAUGCAAGUCGAGCGAACGGACGAGAAGCUUGCUUCUCUGAUGUUAGCGGCGGACGGGUGAGUAACACGUGGAUAACCUACCUAUAAGACUGGGAUAACUUCGGGAAACCGUAGCUAAUACCGGAUAAUAUUUUGAACCGCAUGGUUCAAAAGUGAAAGACGGUCUUGCUGUCACUUAUAGAUGGAUCCGCGCUGCAUUAGCUAGUUGGUAAGGUAACGGCUUACCAAGGCAACGAUGCAUAGCCGACCUGGGAGGGUGAUCGGCCACACUGGAACCGAGACACGGUCCAGACUCCUACGGGAGGCAGCAGUAGGGAAUCUUCCGCAAUGGGCGAAAGCCUGACGGAGCAACGCCGCGUGAGUGAUGAAGGUCUUCGGAUCGUAAAACUCUGUUAUUAGGGAAGAACAUAUGUGUAAGUAACUGUGCACAUCUUGACGGUACCUAAUCAGAAAGCCACGGCUAACUACGUG